Molecule: ribosomal RNA, 253 nt
Filed under: uncultured bacterium
Lineage: Bacteria
Description: partial 16S ribosomal RNA
Rfam family: Bacterial small subunit ribosomal RNA
Source: RNAcentral
UACGGGGGGGGCAAGCGUUGUUCGGAAUUACUGGGCGUAAAGGGCUCGUAGGGGGCCAACUAAGUCAGACGUGAAAUCCCUCGGCUUAACCGGGGAACUGCGUCUGAUACUGGAUGGCUUGAGUUCGGGAGAGGGAUGCGGAAUUCCAGGUGUAGCGGUGAAAUGCGUAGAUAUUGGGAGGAACACCAGUGGCGAAGGCGGCUCACUGGACCGGUACUGACGCUGAGGCGCGAAAGCGUGGGGAGCAAACAGG